This 344-nucleotide ribosomal RNA is filed under the name uncultured bacterium. RNAcentral describes it as "bacterial SSU rRNA". It matches the Rfam family "Bacterial small subunit ribosomal RNA", at positions 29 to 357 of the family's 1533-position model. The record is from RNAcentral.
AACUAACGCUGGCGGCGUGCCUAACACAUGCAAGUCGUACGAGAAAGUUGGCUUCGGCCGAUGAGUAAAGUGGCGCACGGGUGAGUAACGCGUGGAUAAUCUACCCCUCAGUUGGGAAUAACUCAUCGAAAGGUGGGCUAAUACCGAAUAAUACUGCAUGACUUCUGUUGUGUAGUCAAAGAUGGCCUCUGCUUGCAAGCUAUCGCUGAAGGAUGAGUCCGCGUACCAUUAGCUAGUUGGUAGGGUAAUGGCCUACCAAGGCAACGAUGGUUAGCUGGUCUGAGAGGAUGAUCAGCCACACUGGAACUGAGACACGGUCCAGACUCCUACGGGAGCAGCAGUGA